GACGAACGCUGGCGGCGUGCUUAACACAUGCAAGUCGAACGAUGAAGCCGGAGCUUGCUCUGGUGAAUUAGUGGCGAACGGGUGAGUAACACGUGAGUAACCUGCCCUUGACUCCGGGAUAACUGCUAGAAAUGGUAGCUAAUACCGGAUACGACCCUCGGAGGCAUCUUCAGGGGGUGGAAAGAAUUUAGGUCAAGGAUGGACUCGCGGCCUAUCAGCUAGUGGGUGAGGUAAUGGCUCACCAAGGCGACGACGGGUAGCCGGCCUGAGAGGGUGGCCGGCCACACUGGGACUGAGACACGGCCCAGACUCCUACGGGAGGCAGCAGUGGGGAAUAUUGCACAAUGGGCGCAAGCCUGAUGCAGCAACGCCGCGUGAGGGAUGACGGCCUUCGGGUUGUAAACCUCUUUUAGUAGGGAAGAAGCGAAAGUGACGGUACCUGCAGAAAAAGCACCGGCUAACUACGUGCCAGCAGCCGCCGUAA
This 484-nucleotide ribosomal RNA is filed under the name uncultured bacterium. RNAcentral's name for it is "partial 16S ribosomal RNA". It matches the Rfam family "Bacterial small subunit ribosomal RNA", at positions 28 to 523 of the family's 1533-position model. The record is from RNAcentral.